CACACACUCACACAAGUCAGUGUCAGCUUUGGCCACAUGACUUUAUUACAAUACAUUUUUUGUUAAAACAUGACAUUAUAAACCACAAUAGAAUUUUAAAAGAAAACCUUAUUUCUCCGCUGUGCUCUAUCCCUUUAAUUCUGAUAUAAUUACUGUCUCAUUACAGUUAUUAAUCAUAAUGUAGAUGACACAACCAAUGCCUGGUGAUAGGCUAUCACCCAUCCAUCAUAUUUACACUAAGAGCCCUUAUCAUGAACUCGUUAUUCAGAACUAUAUUCCCUCACUAAGUGUUUUUUACAGAGUGUGUUCAUGUACUUGGAAAUGGUAUUUACACGUCUUUGGUGUAGUGGACAGACAGAGACAGACAGCCAGAAAGAGACAGCCAGAGACAGACAGAGACUUAAGGCGUGGCAGUAUAUAUAAGAUACAACUCUGUUCCAACAUUUUAGAGAUGCAUCCUUCUUUCUUUCCUUCCUUCCUUCCUUCCUUCCUUCCUUCCUCUAAGUGGAAGGAAAGCUCAUAACAAUGUCUGGAACAGACCGAAUGGAAUGGCAUCAAACCAGUGGUGUAAAGUCCUUAAGCCUCUGGCCUGGCAGACUCACUAAACACAAAUGCUUCGUCUGUAUGUAUGAGUGUUGGAGUGUGUCCCUGGCUACCUGUCAAUAAAAAUAAAAUAAAAAAUUGUGCAGUCUGGUUUGCUUAAUAAAAGGAAUUUGAAAUGGUUUAUACUUCUACUUUUGAUACUUAAGUACAUUUUAGCAGUUACAUUUUUCUUUUAAAACCAAAUACUUUUAGACUUUAACUCAAGUAGUAUUUUACUGGGUGACUUUUACUUUUACUUGAGUCAUUUCCUAUUAAGGUAUCUUUACUUUUACUUGAGUCAUUUCCUAUUAAGGUAUCUUUACUUUUACAAAAGUUGUUUAAUUGAAUACUUUUCCCACCAUUGCAUCAAACACAGAACCCUUUGUUAGAUGUGUUUCAUACAAUUCCACUGAUUCCACUCCAGUCAUUCCAACAAAAGCCCGUCCUCCCCAAUUAAGGUGCCACCAACCUCCUGUGCUCUGUCCCUUUAAUUCUGAUAUUAUGACUGUCUCAUUACAGUUAUUAAUCAUAAUGUAGAUGACACAACCAAUGCCUGGUGAUAGGCUAUCACCCAUCACUUGUUACAGUAUUAACAACAAGCCUGUUUUAUCUACUACAAUAUUUACACUAAGAGCCCUUAUCAUGAACUCGUUAUUCAGAACUAUAUUCCCUCACUUAGUGUUUUUUACAGAGUGUGUUCAUGUACUUGGAAAUGGUAUUUACACGUCUUUGGUGCAGUGGACAGACAGAGACAGACAGAGACAGACAGACAGAGACUUAAAGGUGUGGCAAUUUGAAUGCUCUUAUAUAAGAUACAGCUCUGUUCCAACAUUUUAGAGAUCCUUCCUUCCUUCCUUCCUUCCUACCUACCUACCUACCUACCUACCUACCUACCUACCUUCCUCAAAGUGAUGUCUUACCUAACUACACUGGAUAGGUGAAGAUUUUGUGGUGGAAAUAUCACUCAGACCCAAUCCAACUCUCUAAGGCCAGACCCAAUCCAACUCUCUAAGGUCAGACCCAAUCCAACCCUCUAAGGUCAGACCCAAUCCAACCCUCUAAGGUCAGACCCAAUCCAACCCUCUAAGGUCAGACCCAAUCCAACCCUCUAAGGUCAGACCCAAUCCAACCCUCUAAGGUCAGACCCAAUCCAACCCUCUAAGGUCAGACCCAAUCCAACCCUCUAAGGUCAGACCCAAUCCAACCCUCUAAGGUCAGACCAGGAAGUAAAGGAACUGAAGGAUGCAUGUUUUCAAGGAACCUGUAUUCACACAGGGCUGAAACAAAACAGUCUCAAUGUCAACUUGUCAUCUAAAGUACUGCUGAUUAAUUAAUAAAAUACUUUUUGUAAAGACCUCUCUCUCUCUUUCUCUGUCUCUCUCUCUUUCUUACUGACUGUCGGUCUGUCUUGUUCCAGCUCCUUCAAUCUGUAUUUUCCCUCUCUCCCCUUCUCUCUCUCUCUCUCUCUCUCACCCUCUCUCUCUCUGUCUCCCUCUCCCUCCCCCUCUCUCUCUCUCUCUCUCUUUCCCC
Long non-coding RNA from Oncorhynchus tshawytscha (Chinook salmon), 2112 nucleotides. Lineage: Eukaryota; Metazoa; Chordata; Actinopteri; Salmoniformes; Salmonidae. The record is from Ensembl.